Podarcis lilfordi (Lilford's wall lizard) is the source of this 70-nucleotide non-coding RNA. The record is from the annotation of a GenBank genome assembly. NCBI's taxonomy places the organism in Eukaryota, Metazoa, Chordata, Lepidosauria, Squamata, Lacertidae.
GGAGCAAUAGCUCAGUUGUAGAGCAUCUGUUUUGUGCACAGAAGGUUUCAGGUUAAAUUUCCUAUCUCCA